AUUCCACAUUAGAAACAUUAAGAGUCCUCUUUUUCCUCCUUCUUGUGGAAUUGGCUUUAAUAGUUCAUAAUUUAUGUUUUUCUACAUAUGUAUCGUAUUUUAUUGUGUUGAUGUAGUUUUCCUUCCAACUCCAUUAACCCUUUUGUUAGGAAUGAUUUAUGCCAUCAUUUUUUGGCAUCUGAUGAAAUAAUGUUUUUCCUCCUCCAAACAUUACAGGUAGAUAUGCCAGUGUUGAUCCCUACUUGCAUUUGUAGGCCAAGUCUUAUUUGUUCAUGUUGUAUUAUCUUAAAUAUGGGCAAGAUAAAUUCUGUUAACACUUGACAUGGAUUUUUUUUUCCCAUCUCUAUGAACACAUAAAAACAUCCUGAUUUUUCAUUUCUGGGUUUAUCUUCAUCUUUUUCAUUAGAAUCAUGACAUGUCUAUGAACUUGUGGGGCUCUCCUUCUAUUAGCAUGUUGCUAUGUAACAAAUCAUCCCAAAAUUGAGCAGCUUAAAUCAAUGAACAUUUAACAUUUACUAUCUCUUAGUUUCUGUGGGUCAAAAACUGAAUACCUAGUUAUUGCUGGGAGCCAUUAGCCAAGUAGGUAUGACAAUUUCCUUGCCAGCGUACCCCAU
RNAcentral lists this long non-coding RNA (614 nucleotides) under Marmota monax (woodchuck). The record is from RNAcentral. Lineage: Eukaryota; Metazoa; Chordata; Mammalia; Rodentia; Sciuridae.